CUCGUAGGCGGUUGAGUAAGUCGGGUGUGAAAACUCUGGGCUUAACCCAGAGCCGCCACUCGAUACUGCUCUGACUUGAGUUCGGUAGGGGAGCAGGGAAUUCCUAGUGUAGCGGUGAAAUGCGCAGAUAUUAGGAGGAACACCGGUGGCGAAGGCGCUGCUCUGGGCCGAAACUGACGCUGAGGAGCGAAAGCGUGGGUAGCAAACAGGAUUAGAUACCCUGGUAGUCCACGCCGUAAACGUUGGGCACUAGGUGUGGGUUCCAACCAACGGAAUCCGCGCCGUCGCUAACGCAUUAAGUGCCCCGCCUGGGGAGUACGGCGGCAACGCUAAA
Molecule: ribosomal RNA, 334 nt
Filed under: uncultured Iamia sp.
Lineage: Bacteria; Bacillati; Actinomycetota; Acidimicrobiia; Acidimicrobiales; Iamiaceae
Description: bacterial SSU rRNA
Rfam family: Bacterial small subunit ribosomal RNA
Source: RNAcentral